This 428-nucleotide ribosomal RNA is filed under the name uncultured bacterium. RNAcentral describes it as "partial 16S ribosomal RNA". It matches the Rfam family "Bacterial small subunit ribosomal RNA", at positions 356 to 801 of the family's 1533-position model. The record is from RNAcentral.
GGGGAAUAUUGCACAAUGGGCGAAAGCCUGAUGCAGCAACGCCGCGUGAGUGAUGAAGGUCUUCGGAUUGUAAAGCUCUGUCUUUUGGGACGAUAAUGACGGUACCAAAGGAGGAAGCCACGGCUAACUACGCGCCAGCAGCCGCGGUAAUACGUAGGUGGCGAGCGUUGUCCGGAUUUACUGGGCGUAAAGGGUGCGUAGGCGGAUGUUUAAGUGAGAUGUGAAAUACCCGGGCUUAACUUGGGUGCUGCAUUUCAAACUGGAUAUCUAGAGUGCAGGAGAGGAGAAUGGAAUUCCUAGUGUAGCGGUGAAAUGCGUAGAGAUUAGGAAGAACACCAGUGGCGAAGGCGAUUCUCUGGACUGUAACUGACGCUGAGGCACGAAAGCGUGGGUAGCAAACAGGAUUAGAUACCCUGGUAGUCCACGCC